CGGCCCGAGUGGUGAUCGUGAUUAUUGGGUCUAAAGGGUCCGUAGCCGGUUUGGUCAGUCCUCCGGGAAAUCUGAUAGCUCAACUAUUAGGGCUUUCGGGGGAUACUGCCAGACUUGGAACCGGGAGAGGUAAGAGGUACUACAGGGGUAGGAGUGAAAUCUUGUAAUCCCUGUGGGACCACCUGUGGCGAAGGCGUCUUACCAGAACGGGUUCGACGGUGAGGGACGAAAGCUGGGGGGCACGAACCGGAUUAGAUACCCGGGUAGUCCCAGCCGUAAACGAUGCUCGCUAGGUGUCAGGCAUGGCGCGACCGUGUCUGGUGCCGCAGGGAAGCCGUGAAGCGAGCCACCUGGGAAGUACGGCCGCAAGGCUGAAACUUAAAGGAAUUGGCGGGGGAGCACAACAACGGGUGGAGCCCUGCGGUUUAAUUGGACUCAACGCCGGACAACUCACCGGGGGCGACAGCAAUAUGUAGGCCAAGCUGAAGACUUUGCCUGAAUCGCUGAGAAGUGGUGCAUGG
RNAcentral lists this ribosomal RNA (521 nucleotides) under uncultured archaeon. Its description in RNAcentral is "bacterial SSU rRNA". It matches the Rfam family "Archaeal small subunit ribosomal RNA", at positions 480 to 997 of the family's 1478-position model. The record is from RNAcentral.